UAGGUAAUGAUAUGAAAAUCUUCUAAAGACAUUACAGGAACAUGAAAAUGUAAUUAAAUACUCACAAUUUGUAAUGUUUUAUGUAAGUGGAACACAUUUAACUGAAAAUUGCUUUUAUAUAAUACUCAAACGAGACUAAAAACAUUUUAACUAGCGGAAUAAGUCUUCAAAUUGAUAAUCUGAACUAUAUAAGAGGAGAAACUUCAGGCAUUCAAAUACUUGAAAUGCUACAAAAUAUUUAUAUAAACUAUUAUUUAACCAUUUCUGUUUGUCGAGUGCUAUACAGUAAUCAAUAUAAAUGACAUCUCAAGUCUUUCUAUAGCUUUGACCACAUUUACCUCCUAAUUUUAAUUAUUAAUAUGUUGGAGCAGUGCAUACAACUCGAUUCCGAUCUUCUCUUUAAUGAGUAAAAAUAUGUCCUUUGAGACAGCAUUAAAGAGCACCUUGUAUAAAUUCAAAGCCAAGAGACAAGAUAUUCUUGAUUCUGAUGUCUUGUUCUUUUAUACAACAAUGUAAUUAAUAAGAGGAAAAGCAGGACAUAGACAUGGAGUCUAUUUUAAUCAAAAAUUGUCCAUAGAUUUUGAUGAUAAAAUUUAAAAAUCUACUACAUUUAGUUACAAAAAACUAGGUUGUGGGAACUUAUUUGUUCAAUAAAACACAGCUACUAAAUGCUGACAAGAAAAAAAGUUAGGUACCACCUUUCUUCUCUGCAGAUGGCCUGAGAUGGGUUAAUUUGAAAGAAUGCUUCCAAACCUGAGGUGACCCCUGGGAACAGCAUAAUCCACUGCUGUCUCCUACAUUCAGUUUCUCAGUUUGUGCUCUUUUAAUUUCGGGGGGAGGGAAGCCAGUCCUUUAAACCGAUCUUCAGCACGAUGGCAGAGGCAAGGAGUGUGGACAGGUGGCACGGUGUCUGACUUUGUUGCAGCAGCCACUUGGGCUUUCUCUGGGUCUUCUCUGCCCUAGGGAUAGCACCACUAUUGAAAACAUGUCUUUGUGACAUUCUUUAUGCCAGGAACUCCCAACGCAUUUUCCUUGAAACUGAUGAAAUGAAUAAAAAUAAACCAAGAGGUGUGCUGUUUGUUUCUGUUUCCUCCUUUCUGCAGCCCUUCUUGAUCAUCUAAUAUUUUUAAAUACAUUGUCGAUCAGCAAAAGGAGCAUAAGGCCUUUAUUGAUUUGUAGCAGAUGUAUUAAUAGCCCAGCCCCUAUUCCUUACCUGUAGCUGCUGUGAAGAAAACCAUCCUUAACACUCUACAAGGUCUCAUCUCCAGAAUUUGCACCUGUUUCUAGCCGAGGACUCUCUCUAGCAGCAUGGGAGCUUGAUACUGGGCAUGAAGUGGGAAGAAAAGGUGAGGGUAACUAAGAAGAAUCUCCCUGGAUUCAGUGAUGUAAUUCUGAGGCAUGUUCCACAUAGCUUCCCAUAGAAUUAAGCCCAGAUAUCUAACACAGGAACUUGCCUCUAAACACGUGUGGCAUUGGCUUUUCUAUCUUUCCUGUUUUAUUUUGUUCUCUCUUCCUUGUCUCACUUUCGCUGUGUCCUCACUCCUGCUUUAAGAAUACCCAAACAAAUACAUUCAUUUAUUUUUUUAGACUCUCAGAACACAGUUGAUAGUUGAACUUGUAAUCUAUGAUAAUCAGCUUGGAUGCUAUACUGACAGGAAGAUGGUGAACUCACAAUGUCUAAUUAAGAUAAAAUUAAAAAAUAUAUUGACUCAUGUCCAAAGAUUUAAAAAACCUAAGCGGCAGUGUCACAAUUUCUUCUUUUUAGUUCACAUGGUUUCUUAAACGCCUACAAUUAUUUUAAAGUAAGACUUGAGUCUAGGAAAAAUUGAGACAUAUGGAAUAAAUUACUAACCCAUUUCUCCUUGAAAUCCAUUAGAUGCUUGAUGAUUUUUCACAUACAUUUCUGAAUUGAAAAGCUACUUGUGAAUUAUUUUUAUAAGCAUAUCCUUAUGUAAUAUUUUGUUUUUAACAGUGAAUUGAAGGUUUAAAGAUUAAAUUAUUCUAUCCAGAGAAUAAAAAGCAAUUAUUUCACAAGGAGAACAUGUGUAUGUUGACACGACAUUUUAAAAUCUAGAUUUUAAAAUAGGUCCCAUAUACUUUUGAGUCAGUUAGAAUAUGUUUGUAUCAGUCUGUCUACAGUUUUACACCUGUCAAAAUGUACUUGAACUACAACAAUUACCUUGAACAAUUUUGAAAUUUAUUAUUUCUCUGAAACUGAUUAAAAGAAUUAUGGUAGAGUGAAAUUCUGAUUGGCAUAAUUUGGGAGAGAAAUUAUUCCUUGGAGAUCAACCUCUGCCAUGAUAGUUUAUAAUGACAUUGAGACUUUUUGAUUUACAAAAUUUGUUAUAUAAAAAAUACUAAGACGAUGACAGAUAAUACACAGACUUUAAUUAAAAUUGUACUAAAAUUAAAUGUCUAAAUAAAUUAGAAGGGUACAUGGUACAUCUAACUGUAUGUUUAUAUAUUUUAUUUGUGCAUUUUAUUCUUAGGGUUGCUUUUGCUUUAGUUUGUAAAAUGUUCUUAUUUUUAUGAUAAUGUAGUAUAUACUAAAUAAAGAAAAAUCAGGAAGUAGAAAAUGAAGAAGAAAACAUUAGCUAUUGUCAACCAAAUAAAAAUUGUGCAAUCUCUAAGCACAUGAACUAUGUAUUAUUUGUACAGCACGUACAAUGUUUAUGCUUCACAGGGUGAGGUAGAGACUGCAAAACAUCGAACCUGGGACAAAUAAGAAAGUAAAGAAACUUUCACAACAUAUUAAUAUUAUAGAAAGUGUUGAACUUAACAGUUAAGAUACAAGUAGUGAAAAAUGAUAGUAUUUAAGGAGAUCUAGAAAAUUUAAUCUAUAUCUGUAAUGUGUUAGAAGUAUUAGAAUAAUGCUUGUAUUUCUGGAUUGGCAUCGAUUUCUAUUGAGACUGGAAACAUACUUUAAUCAUAUUGAAAU
RNAcentral lists this long non-coding RNA (2938 nucleotides) under Homo sapiens (human). Its description in RNAcentral is "HSALNT0123745". The record is from RNAcentral. Lineage: Eukaryota; Metazoa; Chordata; Mammalia; Primates; Hominidae.